This 251-nucleotide long non-coding RNA is filed under the name Mytilus galloprovincialis (Mediterranean mussel). Lineage: Eukaryota; Metazoa; Mollusca; Bivalvia; Mytilida; Mytilidae. The record is from RNAcentral.
CCAGAAUUUAUAGGAAAGAAUGAUACUUUCGCAUGAAAUUAUGGAAAAGAAUAGACAAAACAGCAAUAUUUUUUGCUAGUUUAAUGAGGGGCAAGUAACAGUUAAGAUAUCGGAAUCAGUCAUAUUUCCAUUAGAAAAAAACUCCUCACUUCACACAAUUUAUUAAAAUGUUUGGGACCGCGGUGAUCGAAUGUAUGAGAUCGUUCAUCUAAAAUGAUCACUUGUCUGUCAGUGGUUGUGUUCGAAGCCCG